UUUUAAAUUUAAAGUCUGACCUGCUCAAUGAAAUUUAAAUAGCCGCAGUAUUUUGACUGUGCAAAGGUAGCAUAAUCAUUAGUUUUUUAAUUAAAAACUUGUAUGAAUGGUUGGAUGAGAAAUAAUCUGUCUCUGUAUAAUUUAAUUAGAAUUUUAUUUUUGAGUUAAAAAGCUUAAAUUAUUAUUAAAGACGAGAAGACCCUAUAGAGUUUUAUUUUUUUGAAUAAUUGAUUUUUUAGGAAUUUAUUUUUUAUUUAUUUAAAUUAAUUUUGUUGGGGCGACAGGAAAAAUAAUUUAACUUUUUCUUUUUAUAACAUUAAUUUAUGAUUAGUUGAUCCAAUAUUUUUGAUUAUAAGUUUAAAUUACCUUAGGGAUAACAGCGUAAUUUUUUUUGAGAGUUCUUAUCGAAAAAAAAGUUUGCGACCUCGAUGUUGGAUUAAAAUUUAGGGUUGGCGUAGAAGUUAAUCUUUUGAGUCUGUUCGACUUUUAAAAUUUUACGUGAU
Molecule: ribosomal RNA, 503 nt
Filed under: Oocyclus pittieri
Lineage: Eukaryota; Metazoa; Arthropoda; Insecta; Coleoptera; Hydrophilidae
Description: partial 16S ribosomal RNA
Rfam family: Bacterial large subunit ribosomal RNA (bases 373-503)
Source: RNAcentral